This 387-nucleotide ribosomal RNA is filed under the name uncultured bacterium. RNAcentral's name for it is "bacterial SSU rRNA". It matches the Rfam family "Bacterial small subunit ribosomal RNA", at positions 28 to 416 of the family's 1533-position model. The record is from RNAcentral.
GACGAACGCUGGCGGCGUGCUUAACACAUGCAAGUCGAGCGGUAAGGCCCUUUCGGGGGUACACGAGCGGCGAACGGGUGAGUAACACGUGGGUGACCUGCCCUCAGCUCUGGGAUAAGCCCGGGAAACUGGGUCUAAUACCGGAUAUGACUCCAUGACGCAUGUUGUGGGGUGGAAAGCCUUGUGCGGCUGAGGAUGGGCCCGCGGCCUAUCAGCUUGUUGGUGGGGUGAUGGCCACCAAGGCGACGACGGGUAGCCGGCCUGAGAGGGCGACCGGCCACACUGGGACUGAGAUACGGCCCAGGACUCCUACGGGAGGCAGCAGUGGGGAAUCUUGCGCAAUGGGCGAAAGCCUGACGCAGCGACGCCGCGUGAGGGAUGACGGCC